AAGUGUUGUCACUGAGCAUAAAGGGAAAAACUGAGGCUCACAAACCUGAGACUCAAAAUAAACAGCAGCUAAUAUCCAAUCUCAUGUGAUAUCACGUACUGAGGUGGUUUGAAUAUGCUUGGCCCAGGAAGUAGCACUAUUUGGAGGUGUGGCCUUGUUGGAGUAGGUGUGGCCUUGUUGGAAGAAGUGUGUCGCUGUGGGAGGUAAGUUUAAAGACCUCCUAACCACAGGGGAGCUAGCCUUCUAGAGGCCUUCUGAUGAAGAUGAAGAAUUCCAGCUCCUUCUGCACCAUGCCUGCCUGGAUGCUGCCAUGCUCCAGCCUUGAUGAUAGUGGACUGAACUUCUGAAUCUAACUUGCAAGAGAUAUCAAUGGUUUCAGCGAAGAAAGCCGUUCAUCAAUUCAGACCGUUAAAAACAAAACAGAAGAAAUAGCUCGACUUUUUAAAU
Molecule: long non-coding RNA, 447 nt
Organism: Apodemus sylvaticus (European woodmouse)
Lineage: Eukaryota; Metazoa; Chordata; Mammalia; Rodentia; Muridae
Exons: 2
Source: RefSeq, a predicted model, not a curated record